Pelobates cultripes (western spadefoot toad) is the source of this 1312-nucleotide non-coding RNA. The record is from the annotation of a GenBank genome assembly. NCBI's taxonomy places the organism in Eukaryota, Metazoa, Chordata, Amphibia, Anura, Pelobatidae.
UCCACUAUAGACACACACUGCAUUCACUAUACAGACUAUACAGAGACACACUGCAUCCUCUAUAUAUGCACGCACAAACAUUGCAUCCACUAUACACACACACUGCAUCCUCAAUACACACACACACUGCAUCCAAUAUACACAUAGACUACAUCCACUAUUCACACACACUGCAUCCACUAUACAGACACACUACGUCCACUAUACACACACUACACACACUACAUCCACUAUACACACACACACUGCAUCCACUAUACAAACUAUACAGAGACACACUGCAUCCUCUAAAUAUGCACGCACAAACAUUGCAUCCACUAUGCACACAAACUGCAUCCACUAUGCACACAAACUGCAUCCACUAUACACACACACUACAUCCACUAUACACACACACUGCAUCCACUAUACAGACACACACUGCAUCCUCUCUACACACACACUGCAUCCACUAUACACACACACUACAUCCACUAUACACACACUGCAUCCACUAUACAGACACACUGCAUCCACUAUACAGACACACACUACAUCCACUAUACACACACACUGCAUUCACUAUACAGACUAUACAGAGACACACUGCAUCCUCUAUAUAUGCACGCACAAACAUUGCAUCCAUUAUAGACACACACUGCAUCCACUAUACACACACACUACAUCCACUAUACACACACAAUGCAUUAACUAUACAGACACACUACAUCCACUAUACAGACACACAAGCAUCCACUAUACACACACAUUGCAUCCACCAUACAGACUAUACAGAGACACACUGCAUCCUCUAUAUAUGCACACACAAACAUUGCAUCCACUAUAGACACACACUGCACCCACUUUACUUAUCCUAAUGGGUGGCUUCGAGGGCAAGCCCAGUGGGCCCAGGCCUUGAACUGUGUAAGUGGUUUAUUCACUGAGUAUUAAACUGGAGUGAACUGGCAAAUGAAUCACAAGAUAAUUUAAUAAUUUGAACUAAAUUAGUUGAGUCAGUGCACUGUAUGGGGUUAUGGUGCUAAUAGAAGUUCCUAAACAGGAGCUUCUGGACCUCUGACUGUAGAGGAGACAAGGAGAAGUGCUCAGCAGACCCAGGUAAGAAAUCAAUCCAUAAUAAAAUGUUUUGACUACUUACAAUAGGGUGGUGCCACGCACUCCUGGUAUCAUAACCACUACUACACACUGUGACUUUAAUGGCUGGCUGAGCAUCAUGGGACAGAAAAUAAAUCUGCAGAAAUUGGCAAUCACUGAUUCAGAACAUUAACAGGGAAUGUUUAAAACAAUGUACGCAUGAAAAAUCUCUUUAGUGAUU